CAAAAAAUGAAAUUUUUUUUGCAGGAACAUGGAUGGAGCUGGAGGCUAUUAUCCUUAGCAAACUAACACAGGAACAGAAAACCAAAUAUCAUAUGUUUUCACUUAUAAGUGGGAGCCAAGUGAUAAGAACUUAUGAACACAAAGAAGGAAACAACAUACACCAGGGUCGACUUGAGGGUGGAGGUUGGGAGGAGGGAGAGGGGCAGAAAAGAUAACUAUUGGGAACUGUGCUUAAUACCUGAGUGAUGAAAUAAUCUGUACGACACCCCCCGACACAAGUUUACCUGUGUAAAAAACCUUCACAUGUAUCCCUGAACCUAAAAUAAAAGUUAAAAAAAAAAGGAAGGACCAGUAAAUAUUUCUGGCUUCAGGAGCAAUGUGUCUCUGUUGCAACAACUUAAUUCUGCCUUUGCAGUGCAGAGUGGACAUAGGCAGUGCAUACAGAACAUGGCUGUGUCUCAAUAAAACAUUUGC
RNAcentral lists this long non-coding RNA (474 nucleotides) under Homo sapiens (human). Its description in RNAcentral is "HSALNT0371499". The record is from RNAcentral. Lineage: Eukaryota; Metazoa; Chordata; Mammalia; Primates; Hominidae.